Molecule: non-coding RNA, 351 nt
Organism: Paramuricea clavata
Lineage: Eukaryota; Metazoa; Cnidaria; Anthozoa; Malacalcyonacea; Plexauridae
Source: the annotation of a GenBank genome assembly
UUUCCAAUCAGUUAUUCGCGUUUGAAUUCGCACAAUCUUCGUUCAUGAACUUGACAAUUAACUGUGCCAUACAAUGGUUAAUGGUCUCUUUCCGUCCGCUUGAAGAAAUUGUGAGAAACAUUGUCUUGUCUUUGUCUUGUAAAUUCUCACACAAUUGCAACACUAAUCCAUUCAAGACAAAAGGAACUUCACCUUUGGAAUAAAGCCUCGAGAGUUAACGGAAGAUAUGGUACUGUAAAGUAAAUAAAAAAAUAUAGAAGUCUUGUCAGACAAUGGAAAUAGUUCCUGAGUGGCAAUUAUAUGUUUUAAAGGCUAAAGCUGCGGGACUUUCCCGUGAUAAAGCAGCAGCAC